This is a long non-coding RNA of Myotis davidii, 2870 nucleotides long. RefSeq lists it as uncharacterized. The record is from RefSeq and is a predicted model, not a curated record. NCBI's taxonomy places the organism in Eukaryota, Metazoa, Chordata, Mammalia, Chiroptera, Vespertilionidae. The transcript has 5 exons.
CCCUCUAAGGCAGCGGGUAACAGCGGCGUCUCCCUCACAGGGUGGUUGGGAGGACUGAGAAGAUCAUGCACAGUGCUCUUUGAAUGUCACAGAACAGAAAGCUGUAUGCUGGGUCUACUGUCCUGCAGACACACCAGGGCAAUGGAGGGGCCAAGGAACGCCAGUGCACUCUGUUCUCUCCUGGGGGGAGGAGGUCAGUAAAAGUCUCUACUGUGAUGGGGCUAAAGCUGCUCCUCUGAGAGCCACACUCUGGCCACUGCUGCCACUCUCCUCCCACAGCUCACGGUGCUACAGCUGCACUGCCACACCCAGGCCUUCUAGAAAGAUCCACAGAGCAGGCUGCAGGGCCAGCACCAGACAUACUUUAUAUGGGGAAUAAACGGAAGGAGGGAACUAGCAGCCUGGAGCUCUGGGGCUGGGGGUGGGGAACUGCUCUUUCAAGAUACCGUUGUCCCCUCCCCAGAAGUGGAUCCUAUCACAAAGAACCCUUCUUCUGAGUCUUAGGGGAGGUGCAUUUAGAAGAUGGAUGCUUUUCUCAGGAAGAUAAGAGGAAAAUGUUUCCCUUAUUCUACCUAAUGCUGCCCGGUGUCUGUGUGGGACAGGCCAGGGCUGCCUCUUCCUGGCAGCAUUUUGGGGGAAGACCAGGGUUACAGCCACUUCUAGCCCCCCUCCUUUUUUUUCUGUUUCAUGUGAUUUAUUUUGCUGGAGGGUACAUUUGAUUUUUUCUUCUUUCCAGAUUCAGCUUUUAGAAUGACUAUUUUCACACAUCAGUGUUUGUGUCCAUGGUUAAAGGUUAUUUUUAAGGGUGGAAUUUCUAACACUGUACAUUUCGAUCACAUUUAGGAAUCCUUAACUUUUAUCCCCUGGGGUAGAACAAGAAAUAACGUCAAGAAUUAUUUCUGGACUCUUCCCAGCCCAACAGGCCCUAGCGUGUGGCAGUGUUUCAGCCAGUGAGGCAGUGAACUGUUGACUCCUGACAUUGCUGUGAGCUGAGUCAUCCCUGGGUUUUUUCCUGCCGCAGGAUCUGGCUGCUCUGCAGAGGAGGAGCUGAACGUUUUGUGGUCAUUGUUCCAGAGAUCAGCUCUGGAAGGAACUACUUUUGCUUCCCUCACAAAGGCUGCGGAGGGUUAUUGAAUGCCAACAGCGUGAGUUGUCCUUCGCCCAUAAAUACGCCUCUCCCCGCUCUGCGGCAGGCAUUCAGGCAGCGAGCGCAGAGAUGACUGCUGAGACCGAGGCACUACUUGAGGAAACCAGAUAAGUUUUUCUAUUAAAAAGAGAUAGAAAAUAAUAUUCUUUAGGAAAUGUAAAUAGCGAAGGAAGAUACUUACUGAGAUACUGCUUAGCAUUAAUAUUUUAACUUUUGUAACAAAGAUCUUAUUUAAGGGAAAAUAUGAAGACUUACUUAAAAAGUAGUUUCAGAAAGGAAGAGAGAAGAAAAGUACUUCCAGAACAUGACGGAGAUUAAGAGAUGAAACUUCUUUACGAAGUAAAAUAAUUUUCAAAGAAAUGGCUGAUAGGACUGCAAAGUCUGAACUCAAAAACGCCUUAACUAAAUUGAAGGGCAAACUUUAAAAAUGCCAUUAAACCGUAGGUGACAUAAGUAGGACAUAAUUGUGAUUUAAAGAAAGUUGGAGGUGGUUAAACUAUAUAUUAAAUGCCGUAUUUAAAAGAGAAAAAUUGGUUUAAGAGAGGCCUUAAAAUUCAUGGCGCAGUAAAGAUUGUGUCAUUUGAAGCCCAGUUGCUAUUACGGCAUUAUUAGCUUAAGAUGGGCAAUUGUUAAUUUAGAAAUCAUAGGAUAAAAUUUUGGAGAAAGAUUAGAAAUUUGAAGUGGAAAACUUGGAAGACGGAAGUGUACAGGAAGGUGAAAAAGACGUAGAGAAGACAGGAAAAUAGAAGAUACAACAUGCAUUUUAGAAGACAGAAAAACUAAGUCCUAAAGGUAGAAAGCAGAAGAGAAAAUAUUUAGGCAAACUAACCAAAGCAACUAAGGGCACAGAUACAAAUGUGAUAGAAAACGAGAAGAUACAGAUUUAAUAGGAAAGUAGAAAAUAGAAAAUGAAGAUACAAAUUUAGUAGAAGAUAGAAAAUGAGAAGAUACAGAUUAAGUAGAAAACUAGAAGAUAGAAAAUGAAGAUACAAGUUUAGUAGAAAAUAGAAGAUAGAAAAAAAUACAGAUUAAGUAGAAAAUGAGAAGAUACAGAAAAGUAGAAAAAUAGAAGAUAAUGAGAAGAUAAAGUUUAGUAGAAAAUAGAAGAUAGAAAAUGAGAUACAGAUUAAGUAGAAAAAUAGAAGAUAGAAAAUGAGAAGAUACAAGUUUAGUAGAAAAGUAGAAGAUAGAAAAUGAGAAGAUACAAGUUUAGUAGAAAAAUAGAAGAUAAAAAGAGAAAAUAGAAGAUAGAAAAUGAGAAGAUACAGACUAAGUAGAAAAAUAGAAGAUAGAAAAUUAGAAGAUACAAGUUUAGUAGAAAAAUAGAAGAUAGAAAAUUAGAAGAUACAAGUUUAGUAGAAAAGUAGAAGAUAGAAAACGAGAAGAUACCAAGUUUAGUAGAAAAGUAGAAGAUAGAAAAUGAGAAGAUACAAGUUUAGUAGAAAAGUAGAAGAUAGAAAACGAGAAGAUACAAGUUUAGUAGAAGAUAGAAGGUCGUCAAGAAAAGUAUUUCAGCUAGAAGAUAGUACAGGAACAAAAGGAGGAAAUUAAAUUUUUAAUUUGUAAUUAAUAAGAAUUUAUUAUAAAAACCCGUAAGUUUAAUUUCUGGUAGUGCAGAAGUUAGCUUUGAGAAGACGAGGAUGUUUAAAUUGCUGUAGAACAGGCCUACUUUAGAAGAAUAUCCGGAAGAAGCUAGAAGGGAAAUCAGCUAAAAAAAAAAAAA